This 443-nucleotide ribosomal RNA is filed under the name uncultured bacterium. RNAcentral describes it as "partial 16S ribosomal RNA". It matches the Rfam family "Bacterial small subunit ribosomal RNA", at positions 338 to 795 of the family's 1533-position model. The record is from RNAcentral.
CCUACGGGUGGCAGCAGUGGGGAAUAUUGGGCAAUGGGCGCAAGCCUGACCCAGCAACGCCGUGUGAAGGAAGAAGGCCCUCGGGUUGUAAACUUCCUUUGUCAGGGACGAAACAAAUGACGGUACCUGACGAAUAAGCCACGGCUAACUACGUGCCAGCAGCCGCGGUAAUACGUAGGUGGCAAGCGUUAUCCGGAUUUACUGGGUGUAAAGGGCGUGUAGGCGGGAGAGCAAGUCAGAUGUGAAAUUCCAGGGCUCAACCCUGGAACUGCAUUUGAAACUGUUUUUCUUGAGGGAGGGAGAGGCAGGCGGAAUUCCGGGUGUAGCGGUGAAAUGCGUAGAUAGACGGAGGAACACCAGUGGCGAAGGCGGCCUGCUGGACAUUAACUGACGCUGAGGCGCGAAAGCGUGGGGAGCAAACAGGAUUAGAUACCCUAGUAGUC